UACGGAGGGUGCAAGCGUUAUUCGGAAUUAUUGGGCGUAAAGGGCGCGUAGGCGGCCUCUUAAGUCAGAUGUGAAAGCCCGGGGCUUAACCCCGGAAGUGCAUUUGAAACUAAGGGGCUUGAGUAUGGGAGAGGGGAGUGGAAUUCCUGGUGUAGAGGUGAAAUUCGUAGAUAUCAGGAGGAACACCGGUGGCGAAGGCGACUUCCUGGACCAAUACUGACGCUGAGGCGCGAAGGCGUGGGGAGCAAACAGGAUUAGAUACCCGGGUAGUCC
RNAcentral lists this ribosomal RNA (273 nucleotides) under uncultured bacterium. RNAcentral's name for it is "partial 16S ribosomal RNA". It matches the Rfam family "Bacterial small subunit ribosomal RNA", at positions 524 to 796 of the family's 1533-position model. The record is from RNAcentral.